CAGCCGCCGCGGUAAUACGAAGGGGGCUAGCGUUGCUCGGAAUGACUGGGCGUAAAGGGCGCGUAGGCGGCGAUCAAAAUCAGGCGUGAAAUUCCUGGGCUCAACCUGGGGGCUGCGCUUGAUACUUGGUUGCUUGAGUGGGGAAGAGGGUCGUGGAAUUCCCAGUGUAGAGGUGAAAUUCGUAGAUAUUGGGAAGAACACCGGUGGCGAAGGCGGCGACCUGGUCCUUGACUGACGCUGAGGCGCGAAAGCGUGGGGAGCAAACAGGAUUAGAUACCCCAGUAGUCCCUGUCUCUUAUAC
This 301-nucleotide ribosomal RNA is filed under the name uncultured bacterium. RNAcentral describes it as "partial 16S ribosomal RNA". It matches the Rfam family "Bacterial small subunit ribosomal RNA", at positions 509 to 807 of the family's 1533-position model. The record is from RNAcentral.